This 952-nucleotide ribosomal RNA is filed under the name uncultured bacterium. RNAcentral describes it as "bacterial SSU rRNA". It matches the Rfam family "Bacterial small subunit ribosomal RNA", at positions 152 to 1105 of the family's 1533-position model. The record is from RNAcentral.
UGAAACGACUGCUAAGACUGGAUAGGAGACAAGAGGGCAUCUUCUUGUUUUUAAAAGACCUAGCAAUAGGUAUGCUUAGGGAGGAGCUUGCGUCACAUUAGUUAGUUGGUGGGGUAAAGGCCUACCAAGACUAUGAUGUGUAGCCGGGCUGAGAGGUUGAACGGCCACAUUGGGACUGAGACACGGCCCAAACUCCUACGGGAGGCAGCAGUAGGGAAUUUUCGGCAAUGGAGGAAACUCUGACCGAGCAACGCCGCGUGAACGAUGAAGUAUUUCGGUACGUAAAGUUCUUUUAUUAGGGAAGAAUAAAUGAUGGAAAAAUCAUUCUGACGGUACCUAAUGAAUAAGCCCCGGCUAACUAUGUGCCAGCAGCCGCGGUAAUACAUAGGGGGCAAGCGUUAUCCGGAAUUAUUGGGCGUAAAGGGUGCGUAGGCGGUUAAAUAAGUUUAUGGUCUAAGUGCAAUGCUCAACAUUGUGAUGCUAUAAAAACUGUUUAGCUAGAGUAAGAUAGAGGCAAGUGGAAUUCCAUGUGUAGUGGUAAAAUGCGUAAAUAUAUGGAGGAACACCAGUAGCGAAGGCGGCUUGCUGGGUCUUUACUGACGCUGAGGCACGAAAGCGUGGGGAGCAAACAGGAUUAGAUACCCUGGUAGUCCACGCCGUAAACGAUGAGUACUAAACGUUGGGUAAAACCAGUGUUGAAGUUAACACAUUAAGUACUCCGCCUGAGUAGUACGUACGCAAGUAUGAAACUUAAAGGAAUUGACGGGACUCCGCACAAGCGGUGGAUCAUGUUGUUUAAUUCGAAGGUACCCGAAAAACCUCACCAGGUCUUGACAUGCUUCUGCAAAGCUGUAGAAACACAGUGGAGGUUAUCAGUUGCACAGGUGGUGCAUGGUUGUCGUCAGCUCGUGUCGUGAGAUGUUGGGUUAAGUCCCGCAACGAGCGCAACCCU